CCCCUGAUAGCUCAGUUGGCAGAGCGGCAGACUGUAAUGGAUACGCACUCAUCUGUAGGUCCUCGGUUCAAUUCCGAGUCAGGGGA
Molecule: transfer RNA, 86 nt
Filed under: Tilletia horrida
Lineage: Eukaryota; Fungi; Basidiomycota; Exobasidiomycetes; Tilletiales; Tilletiaceae
Description: tRNA-Tyr
Rfam family: tRNA
About the family: Transfer RNA (tRNA) molecules are approximately 80 nucleotides in length. Their secondary structure includes four short double-helical elements and three loops (D, anti-codon, and T loops).
Source: RNAcentral